UGGGGAAUAUUGCACAAUGGGCGAAAGCCUGAUGCAGCGAUGCCGCGUGAGGGAUGACGGCCUUCGGGUUGUAAACCUCUUUCAGCAGGGACGAAGCGCAAGUGACGGUACCUGCAGAAGAAGCACCGGCUAACUACGUGCCAGCAGCCGCGGUAAUACGUAGGGUGCAAGCGUUGUCCGGAAUUACUGGGCGUAAAGAGUUCGUAGGCGGUUUGUCGCGUCGUUUGUGAAAACCAGCAGCUCAACUGCUGGCUUGCAGGCGAUACGGGCAGACUUGAGUACUGCAGGGGAGACUGGAAUUCCUGGUGUAGCGGUGAAAUGCGCAGAUAUCAGGAGGAACACCGGUGGCGAAGGCGGGUCUCUGGGCAGUAACUGACGCUGAGGAACGAAAGCGUGGGUAGCGAACAGG
This 409-nucleotide ribosomal RNA is filed under the name bacterium. Its description in RNAcentral is "partial 16S ribosomal RNA". It matches the Rfam family "Bacterial small subunit ribosomal RNA", at positions 355 to 776 of the family's 1533-position model. The record is from RNAcentral.